AUGUCUGCUGGCUCCGCGCCGCGCGUCGUCCCGCAGCCAGCCCCGUCUGUUGCUCGAUCCCAUCUGGAUCGGGCCCCGCCGGCGCUGAGCCGCUCCGUCCAUGCUGUUGGCGGGUCAGGGAAGGUGCCAGUGGUGUCCCCGAGCAAGUUGGUUGCGCCUGUGUGUGCGCCCGCGCGGCUGCCCGUGCAGGCCUCUGCUGCGUCGAUCUUGGAGGGCCCGGAGGGGAUGUGCUCCCUCGUCGCCGCGCCACCGCAUCUCGGCUCGGGUCGGCCAGAUCCCGAGUCAUGGACCUCUCUCGCCGCUGACAGCGACGACGACGAUGAAGAGGAGCUGGCCCCUAUGACACCGCCUGCUGCCAAGGCCUCGGCCCCAGUCGCUGCUCUGCCGGACGUGGUGGUGAAGGCGAGCGAGGGAUGGCAGGAGGUGUUGCCCCGGCGUGGUCCGCGUCGCCCGACGUCGCUAGCCCCUGCAAUGGCUCCCCGUCCAAUCCCUGUUUGGCUGCACGGUAGAUGUUGCAGAUGCUUCGCUCCUGGGCAUCGUGCGGCCGAUUGUAGAGAUCCGCUUCGGUGCUCCCGUUGCUUGGAGAAUGGUCACCGUGCUCGCGGAUGCCGCAAUCCUUGGCGUCCUCUAAGUUUUUUGGCAUGUCUUGCCAUGCCGCCAGUCCUCGGUUCCAUGCGCCAUCCUGCUCUAGCUUCAUGUAAGGAUGCAAUGAAAUCCAUGCUCCCUUCCAAGCCGAUUCACCAUGGGUCUUGGGCGUCUAUCGUCUCUACUACCGUUGGCUCAGCAACCCCACCCGAUAUGAUGUUGCGGUCCUCUCUGGCCGAUCAGACAAUAUUGUUGCAGAGUUGUCUGGCACGGGUUCAGAGCUUUCUCGAGCGGGCGGAGGCUGCUCUUAGCAGGCUCUCCCUUGCACCGGCUAGGUCGUAG
Molecule: ribosomal RNA, 927 nt
Filed under: Triticum aestivum (bread wheat)
Lineage: Eukaryota; Viridiplantae; Streptophyta; Magnoliopsida; Poales; Poaceae
Description: partial small subunit ribosomal RNA
Source: RNAcentral